This 1370-nucleotide ribosomal RNA is filed under the name Escherichia coli. RNAcentral describes it as "partial 23S ribosomal RNA". It matches the Rfam family "Bacterial large subunit ribosomal RNA", at positions 373 to 1746 of the family's 2925-position model. Lineage: Bacteria; Pseudomonadati; Pseudomonadota; Gammaproteobacteria; Enterobacterales; Enterobacteriaceae. The record is from RNAcentral.
CCGUACACAAAAAUGCACAUACUGUGAGCUCGAUGAGUAGGGCGGGACACGUGGUAUCCUGUCUGAAUAUGGGGGGACCAUCCUCCAAGGCUAAAUACUCCUGACUGACCGAUAGUGAACCAGUACCGUGAGGGAAAGGCGAAAAGAACCCCGGCGAGGGGAGUGAAAAAGAACCUGAAACCGUGUACGUACAAGCAGUGGGAGCACAGAGCAAUCUGUGUGACUGCGUACCUUUUGUAUAAUGGGUCAGCGACUUAUAUUCUGUAGCAAGGUUAACCGAAUAGGGGAGCCGAAGGGAAACCGAGUCUUAACUGGGCGUUAAGUUGCAGGGUAUAGACCCGAAACCCGGUGAUCUAGCCAUGGGCAGGUUGAAGGUUGGGUAACACUAACUGGAGGACCGAACCGACUAAUGUUGAAAAAUUAGCGGAUGACUUGUGGCUGGGGGUGAAAGGCCAAUCAAACCGGGAGAUAGCUGGUUCUCCCCGAAAGCUAUUUAGGUAGCGCCUCGUGAAUUCAUCUCCGGGGGUAGAGCACUGUUUCGGCAAGGGGGUCAUCCCGACUUACCAACCCGAUGCAAACUGCGAAUACCGGAGAAUGUUAUCACGGGAGACACACGGCGGGUGCUAACGUCCGUCGUGAAGAGGGAAACAACCCAGACCGCCAGCUAAGGUCCCAAAGUCAUGGUUAAGUGGGAAACGAUGUGGGAAGGCCCAGACAGCCAGGAUGUUGGCUUAGAAGCAGCCAUCAUUUAAAGAAAGCGUAAUAGCUCACUGGUCGAGUCGGCCUGCGCGGAAGAUGUAACGGGGCUAAACCAUGCACCGAAGCUGCGGCAGCGACGCUUAUGCGUUGUUGGGUAGGGGAGCGUUCUGUAAGCCUGCGAAGGUGUGCUGUGAGGCAUGCUGGAGGUAUCAGAAGUGCGAAUGCUGACAUAAGUAACGAUAAAGCGGGUGAAAAGCCCGCUCGCCGGAAGACCAAGGGUUCCUGUCCAACGUUAAUCGGGGCAGGGUGAGUCGACCCCUAAGGCGAGGCCGAAAGGCGUAGUCGAUGGGAAACAGGUUAAUAUUCCUGUACUUGGUGUUACUGCGAAGGGGGGACGGAGAAGGCUAUGUUGGCCGGGCGACGGUUGUCCCGGUUUAAGCGUGUAGGCUGGUUUUCCAGGCAAAUCCGGAAAAUCAAGGCUGAGGCGUGAUGACGAGGCACUACGGUGCUGAAGCAACAAAUGCCCUGCUUCCAGGAAAAGCCUCUAAGCAUCAGGUAACAUCAAAUCGUACCCCAAACCGACACAGGUGGUCAGGUAGAGAAUACCAAGGCGCUUGAGAGAACUCGGGUGAAGGAACUAGGCAAAAUGGUGCCGUAACUUCGGGAGAAGG